RNAcentral lists this ribosomal RNA (1198 nucleotides) under Methana sp. AUS1. RNAcentral describes it as "16S ribosomal RNA". The stretch from base 989 to 1148 matches the Rfam family "Archaeal large subunit ribosomal RNA", at positions 2542 to 2701 of the family's 2987-position model. The record is from RNAcentral. Lineage: Eukaryota; Metazoa; Arthropoda; Insecta; Blattodea; Blattidae.
UUUAUUUAUUUAAUUUUUUUUAAUUUUUAUAAAAAUCAUUUUAUUUGUUUUUGUAUAUGUUUUAGAUGAAAUUAUUUAUUAAUAGUUUAUUUUUACUGUAAGGGUUAUUUAAUUAAUAUUUAUAAGUAAAUUUUAUUUAUUGUACCUUGUGUAUCAGGGUUUAUUAAAUUUUAUUAUUUAUUUUUUAUUUCCCGAUUUUAAAGGAUUUAAUUAAUUAUUUUAGUUAUUGUUUUAUAAAUAUUAUAAAUAAUUAAUUAGUGGUGAAAUAUUAUUCGACUUUAAUUGUAUCUGGUUUUCUAAGAAAUGAAUUUAAUUCAUGUAUUUUAAUUAUUUAUUUAUUUUUGAAAUAUUUAUUUUUAAGAUAUUAAUAUUAGGGGGGAUAAGCUUUUUAAUAUAUACAUUUAAAACUUUUUAUUUAUUAAUUUUUGUUGAUUUUAUAAUAAUUAUCAUUAUAAGUUUGUUAAAAUUUUAUUUAUUUAUUUAUUUUUAUUUAUUUAUUUAUUUAUUUAUUUAUUUAUUUUAUUUUUAUUAUUAUUUAUUUAUUUAUUAUUUUUUAAAAUGAAUUAGGCAAAUAACUAUUAUUUUCGCAUGUUUAUCAAAAACAUCUCUUCUUGAAUUAUUUUUGAAGUAUAACCUGCCCACUGAUAUAUUAUUUAAAGGGCCGCGGUAUUUUGACCGUGCAAAGGUAGCAUAAUCAUUAGUCUUUUAAUUGAAGACUGGAAUGAAUGGUUGGACGAGAAAUAAACUGUUUCUUGAAUAUUUUUUGAAUUUAAAUUUUAAGUUAAAAUGCUUAACUUUUUUUAUGGGACGAGAAGACCCUAUAGAGUUUUAUAAAUUUUAUUUUUAUUAUUGUUUGUAAAUUUUUUAUUAUUUAAAUUUUAUUUUGUUGGGGUGAUUGGAAGAAUUAAUAAACUCUUUUUUUUAUUUAUAUAUUUAUUUAUAAUUUUUUGAUCCAAUUUUGUUGAUUAUAAGACUAAAUUACCUUAGGGAUAACAGCGUAAUCUUUUUUGAGAGUUCUUAUCGAUAAAUGGGUUUGCGACCUCGAUGUUGGAUUAAGAUUUAAUUUGGGUGUAGCAUUUCAAUUGUUUAGGUCUGUUCGACCUUUAAAAUCUUACAUGAUCUGAGUUCAAACCGGCGUGAGCCAGGUUGGUUUCUAUCUAUAAUUAAUUUUAUAUCUUAGUACGAGAGGACCAGAUAU